GCCCUGGUGGCGGAAUUGGCAGACGCACCAGACUUAAAAUCUGGGGUUCCGUAAGGAGCGUGCGGGUUCAAGUCCCGCCCGGGGCA
Molecule: transfer RNA, 86 nt
Filed under: Planctomycetaceae bacterium
Lineage: Bacteria; Pseudomonadati; Planctomycetota; Planctomycetia; Planctomycetales; Planctomycetaceae
Description: tRNA-Leu
Rfam family: tRNA
About the family: Transfer RNA (tRNA) molecules are approximately 80 nucleotides in length.
Source: RNAcentral